Molecule: unclassified non-coding RNA, 2464 nt
Filed under: Hevea brasiliensis (rubber tree)
Lineage: Eukaryota; Viridiplantae; Streptophyta; Magnoliopsida; Malpighiales; Euphorbiaceae
Source: RNAcentral
GGAAAAAUAAUUCCACCUGACCAGAAAAAUCAAAAAGAAGGUAGCAAUCUGCAUAGUAGUUAGACAACAUAAACAUCGACUGCUGCAACAAAUUAUAAUGAACAAUAAAUUGACCCACACACACACAGAGAUGGAUGGACAGACAAUGUUUAAAGAUCAGUAAGUUAAUCUAGCUUAAUAGCAUCUAACUGUCAAACACAGAGCAGAUCUUUUCCCAUCUGAUACAAUGGUUGCAAGUACGUUGCAUAGGAUGCCUCUUUCAAGUUCAUGUAGGCUAACUUCAUUCGUUUUCCACAGCCGUUGUCAAUUCUAUGCAAAACAUACUUAUCAUCCAACAGCAUGUGUAAUUAAUUAGAGAUUCCACAUGAGAAAAUUUUUCUAACAGUGCCAACAAAUUGUAAUAUUUUUCAUUAAAGCCUAUGUUCAUGUGAUGCAAGUAAUUUAUAAUCUUCUAAGGUAAAAUUAUGAAUACAGAAAAGGAUUCCUUAUCUUCAAAAUGUUACAGCUUUUGAGAUGAUAAUAUCAAUACCCUUUUAAAACAUUUCUUUACAACAGUACUUCAGGACUUCAAUGCACAAGUACAAUAACAAUGCAUGUAAGCAAGGAAAGUGUCUGAUGCUGUGACGAAACUCCCAAAUAUUCUUCCUGACUAACUUAAUCUUUUCCAAAAGAGGCCAAAUAGUGCUGCAAAACCCAAUCAUAGCUGAGAGAAUCAAGUCUAAACUCAAUGUUUGCAUCAACUUUACAGCCUUUGUGUCUAAACCAAUGUUUUAUUCACUUUUAAAAAAUGUUAGCAUACAUAAUUUAGAUUAUUUUACAUACUACAAAGAUUCCCAUGAAUAUGAUAAUUGUAUAAUUUGGAUUGACAAUUAAUCACCCACAUUAUUUAGAACUAUAAUAUAAGUCAAUUGUGCCAUUUUCAUUCAAUGAGGACAAUAUGAAGUCUCUUCACAAUAGCCUUCUACUUGUUUCAAGAGACUAAAAAGACAUUGGAGCAAAACCCUACAGCUCUCCACAUAUGCUCCAAGACUAUGAAUACAAUACCAUCCAAACAGAAUGAAAGUACAAACAAGAAUGGAUCAAAAGUAUACAUAAAACAAGGGGGGUCUAAUAUGCCAACCAUUCAACAGAGUUUCCAAUUUAGAUUGCAACCAGCCAAUAUUCUUCUCUAAAAAAUCCAUGCAAUAAACAAGAUCUAGUUAAACAUGAGAAAAAACACUUAAAGAAACUGCAGAAUGAUAAAACUAUCCACUACAUCUACGAAGCAUGUUGAUUAGAACAUUAAUUAAUUAAAAUUUGAAUUAACUUCAUAUUUCCAAAAUAAGAGCAUAUGGAACUACCAAACAACUCCCAGUUAUCAUCAGCCCUAGGGAUGAUCCUCCCCCUCUUCCCCUUCCCUUCCCCCUCCCCAUUUCCGUGCUUUCAUGGUAUUCGAGGCUUCUUGGUCAUCCAACUGACAUAAGGCCAUCAGGAUAGGGCUAAAGGAGUUGACAGGACUAUAAACUAUACUGUCACUUGUGAAAGGCCGCUUAACCCAAUCUUUUAGAUUUUGGAAGUAUCAACCAGAUGGUUAAUUUUUGCCCUCCAGGGAAAGGUAAUAAGAUCAGAUUGCAACCAUCUGAUAUGAUGGGAUAAUAAUUAAGGAACCAGUAGUUCAUAAGUCCAGAGAUUUGUCAUAACAUUCAAGUACGUAGCAAAUAAUGGGACCGGGCCAGGUCUUGCCAGGUAGCCACAAGUAUGGUGAAUAGUAACAGAAUAUGAAGCUGUUUACAAAGAAAGAAAAUGAAAAGGGAGACUCACCUCCAUUAGGAUCAAGAGAAUGCUCCAUUAUUACAUAGUUUAAUGAGAUACUCAACAUUCACAGCACACUCAUAUCUAAAUUCAUAUAAAGGAAACUUCCCAUUGACUGAAUUUGACUACAAGCAAACACAACAAUAGUAAAAAAAGAUAUGGCAACCCAUAAUUUGCAUUUUGCAGGAUCCAAAUUGAUGACUUCAACCUUCCUGAAUAGCAUUAAAGGAUCGACUUUUUCAAUCAUCGAUUAUUUUCCAAUAAGAAAAAGUUGAGCUUAGAGGAAUUGAGUUGAAGUUACCUUCGGAUGAGGCUGAGGAAGUUGGAACUGAGACAUGCCUUUGCAAUAAGUGGUGUGGACCUAUCACUACUUACCCAAACACCAUCUAACUUUGCCUACCCAAGAAGUUGGGAUUAGAAUAAGUAGGAAAGCAGAAGAAAAGAGACGAUUCUGCGAUGACUAAUUUUUGCCUUUUAAGGGGUUUUGCUUUCUGGGGAUUUAGAAAUCUUCAGAUGCUAGGGCCAUUGCUUAUUUAAAAAUACUAAGAGUCUACAAUAGCCCUGCAUUGAUCUUCCGGCAAACUAACUCUCAAACUCUUUCUUUCCAAGUAGCAGUCCAGGCCGACAUUGUUCCGGCGGACAAAGUUCAAUGUUUGAGGCGCAAAUAAUCGAA